AAGCAGCUGGUGGGGCGGCCAGCAGAGCAGAAUAGCAGCUGGCGGGAGGCCAGCCAAAUCAAGUGGUCACAUGGCAGAGCAAGCAAAAUGCCCUCUUCCCUAGGUGGGAGGUGAACUCACACAUAUGCACCUCUGAAGCCUGGGUCCUCACGGACCAAGGACAACCGCUGUGAGUGGGGUAUGGUGAGGCAGCAAAGAGGAGCACAGUAAAAGAAUUUUUGGUUGUAGAAGUCAAGAACAUGAGGUGGAAGAUACUGCCCCACGCACUCUGAGUGCCACAGGUUGCCCACCACUGCUGUAUAUGAUGGAAACCACAUCAAGCCAAGAGGUGUGGGAGCACUCCCAGCAUCCCUAGUUCCAGCACCUAUGCUACUGGUGUCCUUUUUUAGUGAGUAACAAACUAGGCUUCCUCCAAGCCUGAAAAUAUACCUCCAGGGAAGCUGAGAAAAGUGGAAUUUUGAUAAUGGAUCCAUGACCAUAGCCAUGACCCCACUGACGACACCUCCACCCUCCUCUGACCACCACUUGCACUAGCACCUUCUAGAAGAGACAAAGGAAGGAGAGGAGAGGGACUGGAUGGGGUAAACAGAAGGUGAUUUUUCUUCUCCUGACUGGUUGCAGAUUGAAAGUAAUGCCUCGCCCAACGGGUUCCUGGUCCACCAUUAGGGAUUGAAGGUGUUAGAGCAGAAUCAGUGCCAUUAAGGACCCCAUUCCAAGGUACUUAAGAUACAUGCUAUCCCCAUCUGAUGUCUGCAAGAAACUGUCUGACCUGAAAGUGAAAAUAAAAGCCAGAAAGUACUCCACCCUGCCAUGCUUCCCGUGGGAGACAGUGUGCCAGCUAUUCUUCCGAAAGUUAUGUGAUAACUACUUGAGAAACCAGCUCUUGAUGCUGCCAGUCUUGUGACUAUGACGUGUUUCCAAGGAAGAGAGCCACUGGGAGAAGUGGAGCUGAUAGUGCCCAAUCUGGAAGACUCCAACUACGAGCCAGAACAUGAAAGGCCCACAGAGCCUCCAGCUACGAGCCAGAACAUGAAAGGCCCACAUGAAAGGAAGGAGUAAGUACAGAGAGAAAAGAAAGGCUACAGAGGGUAAGGAAAACUGAAGAGAGCUGGUGAUGUGUAAGGAGAUAGCAGAGGAUUUCUUUUAAUAAGUUCUUUAUUUGCCACAUUGUGGAACUGACUAUGAAUGGGGGACAGUUGAAAGUCAAAUUAAUAGACAUCAGAUACUGCAAUGAAAAUAGUGGUGUGAUGGGGAAACAG
Long non-coding RNA from Mauremys reevesii (Reeves's turtle), 1259 nucleotides. RefSeq lists it as uncharacterized. Lineage: Eukaryota; Metazoa; Chordata; Testudines; Geoemydidae. The record is from RefSeq and is a predicted model, not a curated record. The transcript is spliced from 9 exons.